UACAGAGGUCUCAAGCGUUGUUCGGAUUCAUUGGGCGUAAAGGGUGCGUAGGUGGCGCCGUAAGUCAGGUGUGAAAUUUCGGAGCUUAACUCCGAAACUGCAUUUGAUACUGCGGUGCUUGAGGACUGGAGAGGAGACUGGAAUUCACGGUGUAGCAGUGAAAUGCGUAGAUAUCGUAAGGAAGACCAGUGGCGAAGGCGGGUCUCUGGACAGUUCCUGACGCUGAGGCACGAAAGCGUGGGGAUCAAACAGG
This 253-nucleotide ribosomal RNA is filed under the name uncultured bacterium. RNAcentral describes it as "partial 16S ribosomal RNA". It matches the Rfam family "Bacterial small subunit ribosomal RNA", at positions 524 to 776 of the family's 1533-position model. The record is from RNAcentral.